UAAAAGGAAAAUGGUUGUGGUUUUUUACAUUGACUUUUUUAAAAGAUGGAAUAGUCUCCAAGCAAACCAGAAGAUUUUGUUACUGGUCAAGCAAAAUGUUUUUGGUUGACCCAAAAUGAAUCGAGCUCUCCUCAUUACAUUAAGUCUUUCCUCUUAGUUCAGCUCCAAAACCAGAAUCUUACACCACUAGAAGAAACCAACCAUCCUUGUUUUCACUUUCCUGCUGCAGCAGUCAGGGAUCUAAUUUUGGUUGCUCCUGUUUCAAUCUUUAUUCCCCUCUCGAUGUAUUGCAGGCUGAGCUCUGUGAUGUCAGAGUUUGCAGCCAGGGUGUGGUACAGAUCUCUCUCCAACUAUCUCGGAUACCUCACCAAAGAGCUGCUAAGCCUCCCUGGCCAGCAGCCUGCUUGUCUGCAGGCUUUAUAGAUCCACUUCAAACCCUGCCAGUGACACCAACACUUGGAAAUCCUCAUUAGUUCGUGGGCCUGAAAAUGCUGGGGAAAAAAAAAAAAAAAAAAAAGCUUCUACACAAAUAUUGUGAAAGGCAGCAGCCAACUGAUGGGGUAACUUUCCAAUGCCAUGGAAAGGAGUUACCCACUGAAGCCUUGGUGAGAUCCAAGCACAGCAAUCCUUUGAAAACCUCCUCACAGAUCCAGCUUUGGCAAAGAGCAGUUCACUGAGAGCAUCUCUAAACAGAUACCUCCAGAGACUCUGAGUGAGGUUGUAGAUACCUCCAGAGACUCUGAACAAGGCUUCACAGAGAGUGUCUUGCUGCAAGGACACAGGAAAAGUGAGGGCUUGUUUUGCAAACAGAGCUGGGAGAGGUGAGAGGACAACAUCCUGCUUGUGCAGCUGGAAGGAGAGACAUGAACUGGCCAACACACACCGGGCUCGGCUGUCACGUCGGGGCUAACUGGCACAUGACAGCUUUUGCAGGAGCUGCAUGGCUGACUGGCACCCAAAGUGAUCCAGCUGUUGGUGCCAAUGCGAAUGCCCCUGGGGAGGGUGAUGGGGCUGUGACAGCAGUGGGAAGAGCUGGGAAUGGUGUGGGAAGCACCACAGUCACAGGAACAAGGCUGGCAGAGGUGUCAGGAGCUGGCCAGCACUCAGACUAUAAAUGAUGCAGAAAGCAAUGUCCAAAGUUGCAGGAGCAGCCUGAACCCUGAGUCUGUGGGUCCCCAUCUCCUGUGGAACCUGCGUAGAGAUCCACACACCUGAAAUCUCCAAAACCUGCAUCUCGCUCUCCCAGGGCUUUACUGACCUUGCCCAUAAGAUGUUUAUUUUUAAAAAUACUGGAAUGGA
Molecule: long non-coding RNA, 1299 nt
Organism: Vidua chalybeata
Lineage: Eukaryota; Metazoa; Chordata; Aves; Passeriformes; Viduidae
Exons: 5
Source: RefSeq, a predicted model, not a curated record